GACGAACGCUGGCGGCGUGCCUAAUACAUGCAAGUUGAGCGCUGAAGGUUGGUACUUGUACCAACUGGAUGAGCAGCGAACGGGUGAGUAACGCGUGGGGAAUCUGCCUUUGAGCGGGGGACAACAUUUGGAAACGAAUGCUAAUACCGCAUAAAAACUUUAAACACAAGUUUUAAGUUUGAAAGAUGCAAUUGCAUCACUCAAAGAUGAUCCCUCGUUGUAUUAGCUAGUUGGUGAGGUAAAGGCUCACCAAGGCGAUGAUACAUAGCCGACCUGAGAGGGUGAUCGGCCACAUUGGGACUGAGACACGGCCCAAACUCCUACGGGAGGCAGCAGUAGGGAAUCUUCGGCAAUGGACGAAAGUCUGACCGAGCAAUGCCGCGUGAGUGAAGAAGGUGUUCGGAUCGUAAAACUCUGUUGGUAGAGAAGAACGUGGGUGAGAGUGGAAAGCUCAUCAAGUGACGGUAACUAUCCAGAAGGGGACGGCUAACUACGU
This 496-nucleotide ribosomal RNA is filed under the name uncultured bacterium. RNAcentral describes it as "partial 16S ribosomal RNA". It matches the Rfam family "Bacterial small subunit ribosomal RNA", at positions 28 to 506 of the family's 1533-position model. The record is from RNAcentral.